UACGAGGGGGGCGAGCGUUGUUCGGAAUUAUUGGGCGUAAAGGGUGCGUAGGCGGUUUGGUAAGUCUUGUGUGAAAUCUACAGGCUCAACUUGUAGUCUGCACGAGAAACUGCCGGGCUUGAGUAUGGGAGAGGUGAGUGGAAUUCCUGGUGUAGCGGUGAAAUGCGUAGAUAUCAGGAGGAACACCUGUGGCGAAAGCGGCUCACUGGACCAUUACUGACGCUGAGGCUCGAAAGCUAGGGGAGCAAACAGG
This 253-nucleotide ribosomal RNA is filed under the name uncultured bacterium. RNAcentral's name for it is "partial 16S ribosomal RNA". It matches the Rfam family "Bacterial small subunit ribosomal RNA", at positions 524 to 776 of the family's 1533-position model. The record is from RNAcentral.